This 305-nucleotide ribosomal RNA is filed under the name uncultured bacterium. RNAcentral describes it as "bacterial SSU rRNA". It matches the Rfam family "Bacterial small subunit ribosomal RNA", at positions 336 to 658 of the family's 1533-position model. The record is from RNAcentral.
CCCCUACGGGAGGCAGCAGUGAGGGAUAUUGGUCAAUGGGGGAAACCCUGAACCAGCAACGCCGCGUGAGGGAAGACGGUUUUCGGAUUGUAAACCUCUGUCCUCUGUGAAGAUAAUGACGGUAGCAGAGGAGGAAGCUCCGGCUAACUACGUGCCAGCAGCCGCGGUAAUACGUAGGGAGCAAGCGUUGUCCGGAUUUACUGGGUGUAAAGGGUGCGUAGGCGGCCCUGCAAGUCAGAUGUGAAAGCCCGCGGCUCAACUGCGGUAGUGCAUUUGGAACUGUAUGGCUGGAGUGCAGGAGAGGC